AGUAAUAUGUCUGAUUUAAGUAAUAAAUUGUAAAUUUAUUUAAGAAAAUUUUUUUUCUAUUACUA
RNAcentral lists this transfer RNA (65 nucleotides) under Saphonecrus sp. ZJUH 20220015. Its description in RNAcentral is "tRNA-Tyr". Lineage: Eukaryota; Metazoa; Arthropoda; Insecta; Hymenoptera; Cynipidae. The record is from RNAcentral.